This 519-nucleotide unclassified non-coding RNA is filed under the name Lygodesmia grandiflora. RNAcentral's name for it is "partial external transcribed spacer". Lineage: Eukaryota; Viridiplantae; Streptophyta; Magnoliopsida; Asterales; Asteraceae. The record is from RNAcentral.
GGGGAAUGUGUUUGGCUUUUGGUUGCUUGCUUGGUUUUGGUGCUGAGUGAGUGGUUUUUGGCUUCAUGUUCUUCGGGGAUGUCAACCGUAAAGGUGCAUGAGUGGUGUUUGGCUUAUUACGGGUGGUUGAUCUCUGUUUGCGCAGCGACUUCCAUGUGUUUAUGCCUCUUCAUUUCUGCUACAAGGCUUUUGUUUGUCUUGUGCGUACAUUGGGUUUCUGUGUUGCAUACCUAAUUAAAAGGCAUCGUUUGGCUAGAUCAAAGUUCAUUUUCGUAAUACGUUGCUUGCAGCGUUGAACGAACCUCGAAGCGGUCUCUAUGGUCCUUGUUGUUGUUGCCGGAGCAUUGAUGGCAUGGCCCUUGGAGUGUCGUUUGGUUUUUAGAAUAUGGAACCUGAUGUGGGYUGUAGGGUCUUUAAUGAUCCUAUGUUUGCCCUCUUUUAGCGUUCUUGCUUGUUUAAACGACCGUCCAUCAUGUUUCGGCAUGUUCGUGUAUGGUGGGCUGUGUCGAAGAGGAAUGC